ANNNUNNNCAUGNAUNUCNAGUAUAGCAUUAUACAGCGAAACUGCGAAUGGCUCAUUAUAUAAGUUAUCGUUUAUUUGAUAGUACCUUACUACUUGGAUAACCGUGGUAAUUCUAGAGCUAAUACAUGCUAAAAAUCCCGACUUCGGAAGGGAUGUAUUUAUUAGAUUAAAAACCAAUGCCCUUCGGGGCUCCUUGGUGAUUCAUGAUAACUUCUCGAAUCGCAUGGCCUUGUGCCGGCGAUGGUUCAUUCAAAUUUCUUCCCUAUCAACUUUCGAUGUUUGGGUAUUGGCCAAACAUGGUUGCAACGGGUAACGGAGGGUUAGGGCUCGACCCCGGAGAAGGAGCCUGAGAAACGGCUACUACAUCCAAGGAAGGCAGCAGGCGCGCAAAUUACCCAAUCCCGACACGGGGAGGUAGUGACAAUAAAUACUGAUACAGGGCUCUUUAGGGUCUUGUAAUUGGAAUGAGUACAAUUUAAAUCUCUUAACGAGGAACAAUUGGAGGGCAAGUCUGGUGCCAGCAGCCGCGGUAAUUCCAGCUCCAAUAGCGUAUAUUAAAGUUGUUGUGGUUAAAAAGCUCGUAGUUGAACCUUGGGCCUGGCUGGCCGGUCCGCCUCACCGCGUGUACUGGUCCGGCCGGGCCUUUCCCUCUGUGGAACCUCAUGCCCUUCACUGGGUGUGGCGGGGAAACAGGACUUUUACUUUGAAAAAAUUAGAGUGCUCCAGGCAGGCCUAUGCUCGAAUACAUUAGCAUGGAAUAAUAGAAUAGGACGUGUGGUUCUAUUUUGUUGGUUUCUAGGACCGCCGUAAUGAUUAAUAGGGACAGUCGGGGGCAUCAGUAUUCAAUUGUCAGAGGUGAAAUUCUUGGAUUUAUUGAAGACUAACUACUGCGAAAGCAUUUGCCAAGGAUGUUUUCAUUAAUCAGGAACGAAAGUUAGGGGAUCGAAGACGAUCAGAUACCGUCGUAGUCUUAACCAUAAACUAUGCCGACUAGGGAUCGGACGGUGUUAUUUUUUGACCCGUUCGGCACCUUACGAGAAAUCAAAGUGCUNNNCUNNNGGGGNNGUNNNNNNNNNNNGCNNANNUA
Molecule: ribosomal RNA, 1087 nt
Filed under: Cylindrocladiella peruviana
Lineage: Eukaryota; Fungi; Ascomycota; Sordariomycetes; Hypocreales; Nectriaceae
Description: partial 18S ribosomal RNA
Rfam family: Eukaryotic small subunit ribosomal RNA
Source: RNAcentral